UACGAAGGGGGCUAGCGUUGCUCGGAAUGACUGGGCGUAAAGGGCGCGUAGGCGGAUGGCACAGUUAGAUGUGAAAUUCCCGGGCUUAACCUGGGGGCUGCAUUUGAUACGUGUUGUCUAGAGUGAGGAAGAGGGUUGUGGAAUUCCCAGUGUAGAGGUGAAAUUCGUAGAUAUUGGGAAGAACACCGGUGGCGAAGGCGGCAACCUGGUCCUUGACUGACGCUGAGGCGCGAAAGCGUGGGGAGCAAACAGG
Molecule: ribosomal RNA, 253 nt
Filed under: uncultured bacterium
Lineage: Bacteria
Description: partial 16S ribosomal RNA
Rfam family: Bacterial small subunit ribosomal RNA
Source: RNAcentral